CAAUUGAUGAUAUAGCAUUACAAGAGAUAGAGUAAUAGUUG
RNAcentral lists this ribosomal RNA (41 nucleotides) under Mucochytrium quahogii. RNAcentral's name for it is "labyrinthulid quahog parasite QPX partial Bacterial large subunit ribosomal RNA". Lineage: Eukaryota; Bigyra; Thraustochytrida; Thraustochytriidae. The record is from RNAcentral.